Molecule: long non-coding RNA, 100 nt
Organism: Dipodomys spectabilis (banner-tailed kangaroo rat)
Lineage: Eukaryota; Metazoa; Chordata; Mammalia; Rodentia; Heteromyidae
Exons: 3
Source: RefSeq, a predicted model, not a curated record
UCUUUAGUAAUAUCAUAGCACCUCUCUUCUUACUAAUAGCAAUUACAAUUUAUUAAUCUUUAGGAUUACUGUAUUAGGAUAAUUUAAAAAUUGGAAAUAA